CAGUCGCCGCGGUAAUACGGAGGGGGCUAGCGUUGUUCGGAAUUACUGGGCGUAAAGCGCACGUAGGCGGCUUGGUAAGUUAGAGGUGAAAGCCCGGAGCUCAACUCCGGAAUUGCCUUUAAGACUGCCGAGCUAGCAGGUGAGAGAGGUAAGUGGAAUUCCGAGUGUAGAGGUGAAAUGCGUAGAUAUCGGAAGGAACACCUGUGGCGAAAGCGGCUCACUGGACCAUAACUGACGCUGAUGCACGAAAGCUAGGGGAGCAAACAGGAUUAGAUACCCGGGUAGUCCCUGUCUCUUAUAU
This 301-nucleotide ribosomal RNA is filed under the name uncultured bacterium. RNAcentral describes it as "partial 16S ribosomal RNA". It matches the Rfam family "Bacterial small subunit ribosomal RNA", at positions 509 to 809 of the family's 1533-position model. The record is from RNAcentral.